This 433-nucleotide ribosomal RNA is filed under the name uncultured bacterium. RNAcentral's name for it is "partial 16S ribosomal RNA". It matches the Rfam family "Bacterial small subunit ribosomal RNA", at positions 29 to 507 of the family's 1533-position model. The record is from RNAcentral.
AACGAACGCUGGCGGCAUGCCUAACACAUGCAAGUCGAACGAGACCUUCGGGUCUAGUGGCGCACGGGUGCGUAACGCGUGGGAACCUGCCCUUAGGUUCGGAAUAACUCCCCGAAAGGGGUGCUAAUACCGGAUAAUGUCUUCGGACCAAAGAUUUAUCGCCUUUGGAUGGGCCCGCGUUGGAUUAGCUAGUUGGUAGGGUAAAAGCCUACCAAGGCGACGAUCCAUAGCUGGUCUGAGAGGAUGAUCAGCCACACUGGGACUGAGACACGGCCCAGACUCCUACGGGAGGCAGCAGUGGGGAAUAUUGGACGAUGGGCGAAAGCCUGAUACAGCAAUGCCGCGUGAGUGAUGAAGGCCUUAGGGUUGUAAAGCUCUUUUACCCGGGAUGAUAAUGACAGUACCGGGAGAAUAGGCGCCGGCUAACUCCGUG